GCCCCGUGAUGAGAACAAGGCAAAUACGAGCUGAUUGGCUGGGAUCUUGUGUUCUCUUGCUCUCUGACUGGUGGGUAAUCUUGGCAGAGCAGUGGAGAUUGGCUGCGCUGCUGUAAGGGCCCACCCAUAUUGAUGCUGGCUGUCAAGCAUAAUACAAUUCUCCUUUAGAAAUGGACAUUUGUGGAUGAUUUGGCAGCUGACAGUGUGUGUGUGUUUGUUUGAGUAUGUCCCGAGUGUGUGUGUGUAAAUGUGUCAGUCAGCAAAGAGUCACAUCUCCUAAAAUGGGCCCACCAGCUGUGAAUGUUUUCUUUGGUAAUCUGAGGGCA
This 326-nucleotide small nucleolar RNA is filed under the name Sinocyclocheilus anshuiensis. The record is from RNAcentral. Lineage: Eukaryota; Metazoa; Chordata; Actinopteri; Cypriniformes; Cyprinidae.